RNAcentral lists this unclassified non-coding RNA (593 nucleotides) under Hevea brasiliensis (rubber tree). The record is from RNAcentral. Lineage: Eukaryota; Viridiplantae; Streptophyta; Magnoliopsida; Malpighiales; Euphorbiaceae.
CCACAAAACCUUAAUCAUAGGGAUCUACUUUGACCUUAACUGCCUCAUCUGAUAGUUCACUAUGGCCACAAGCUGUUUCUCAAAGGUUAAGUUUUCAUUCAAUUCCACUAUAUCAGGUUGUAGCACGUGGAAAGGAUUAGGAAUGUACUUCCUAAGCAUGGAGAUAUGGAACACUAGGUGGAUAUAUGAAAUGCUUGGUGGUAACUCUAGCCGGUAGGUAACUAGUCCCACCCUGUUUGUGAUCUAAAAAGGCCCUAUAUAUCAGGGUGUCAGCUUGUCAUUCUUUUCAAAUCUCAUAACUCCCUUCAUAGGGGAGACCUUCAGAAAUACAUAGUUACCCACUGCAAACUCUACAUCUUUUUGCCUAGGAUCUGUGUAGCUCUUCUGCCUGCUGAAAGCUGUUUUCAAUCGCUCCCUAAUUAAAGGGACCAUCUAUGAAGUGUACUGCACCAAGUCUACAUCAUGUACCUUUGCCUUUCUAACUUCUGUCCAAUACAGAGGGGACCUACACUUCUUGCCAUAUAGUGCCUCACAAGGACACACAUACAAAGCAUAUCCUCCAGUGUCUGAGGGUGAAAGGCUGCACUAAAGUU